This is a long non-coding RNA of Mangifera indica (mango), 268 nucleotides long. RefSeq lists it as uncharacterized. Lineage: Eukaryota; Viridiplantae; Streptophyta; Magnoliopsida; Sapindales; Anacardiaceae. The record is from RefSeq and is a predicted model, not a curated record. The transcript has 2 exons.
GGUUGCUACAUUCUUUUGUUAAUUUUUACUUAUUUAUCAUGUCACAUUUGGAUGAGCCAACAAGAAAGGAAAAGUGACAGAAGGGAGGAAAAUCGGUUUUUGUUGCUCUUCUUCAGCUUUCAGAAGCUCUAGUUACUUCCUCGGUACUGGAGAAAGUUCAUUAUCAAGGUCUGAUGUUAUAAAGAGAAUGUAGGAUUACAUAAAAGAAAAUAACCUCCAGGAUCCGUCUUACAAGAGAAUAAAAUUGUGUGAUGAGAAACUGAAAGAA